Molecule: ribosomal RNA, 431 nt
Filed under: uncultured bacterium
Lineage: Bacteria
Description: partial 16S ribosomal RNA
Rfam family: Bacterial small subunit ribosomal RNA
Source: RNAcentral
AACGAACGCUGGCGGCAGGCCUAACACAUGCAAGUCGAGCGCCCUUUCGGGGGUGCGGCGGACGGGUGAGUAACGCGUGGGAAUAUGCCCUUCUCUACGGAAUAGCCUCGGGAAACUGAGAGUAAUACCGUAUACGCCCUUUGGGGGAAAGAUUUAUCGGGGAAGGAUUAGCCCGCGUUUGAUUAGGUAGUUGGUGGGGUAAUGGCCUACCAAGCCGACGAUCCAUAGCUGGUUUGAGAGGAUGAUCAGCCACACUGGGCCUGAGACACGGCCCAGACUCCUACGGGAGGCAGCAGUGGGGAAUCUUAGACAAUGGGGGCAACCCUGAUCUAGCCAUGCCGCGUGAGUGAUGAAGGCCUUAGGGUUGUAAAGCUCUUUCAGCUGGGAAGAUAAUGACGGUACCAGCAGAAGAAGCCCCGGCUAACUCCGUG